Molecule: unclassified non-coding RNA, 21 nt
Filed under: synthetic construct
Source: RNAcentral
AUAAGGCCGGUGUGCGUUUUU